GGGCUGGGGCUCAGUGGUAGAGCACUUGCCUAGCAUGUGUGAGGCCCUGGGUUCAAGCCUCAGCACCACA
Molecule: transfer RNA, 70 nt
Filed under: Marmota monax (woodchuck)
Lineage: Eukaryota; Metazoa; Chordata; Mammalia; Rodentia; Sciuridae
Description: tRNA.Ala
Source: RNAcentral